Psammomys obesus (fat sand rat) is the source of this 3098-nucleotide long non-coding RNA. RefSeq lists it as uncharacterized. NCBI's taxonomy places the organism in Eukaryota, Metazoa, Chordata, Mammalia, Rodentia, Muridae. The record is from RefSeq and is a predicted model, not a curated record. The transcript has 2 exons.
AUUUCGCUUUGGUAAACAGGCCACCUCCAGGCCAAGGUGACCGUGACCUUCACCACAUGCUGCCAUGGGUGUCUGUGCAGCUCUUUCACGGGCUGAGGCUUCUCAUUUCCCAUUGCCACGACUCUAAUUAGUGCUGACAGUAAGAAACGAGCCAGAACAGACAGCAGACAAACUGGACAGACAAAGGGAAGUGAAGAAGAAAGAAGGAAGGAAGCGGGUAGAGGGUGGACUCACUCAGAAGUGCUCAGAACGGAAUGGCACAGCUGCCCAGGAAGCUAUCAGAGGCAGCCCUGGCUAUUAAUAUUCCUGGGCACCGGAGCCGCCAGCAUAUCUGAGUUGUGUGGGUGUGCUGCCACCAUGUACACGAAGUGCUCGUGGAGGCCAGAAGAGGGCGUCGGAUCCUCUGCAAUUGGAGUCAGAUGGUUGUGAGCACCGUGUGGGUGCUGAAACUGAACCUGAGAGCUCUGGAAAUUCUCUUAACCACAGAGCCAUCUUUGCAGCCCUCUGACAUGCUUUAAAUUCAUCUGUGAUGACAUAUAGACAACCUGGUGCCAGGCCCUUGGCCUGAAGUCCCUGGAACCAGGCAUGGAUGGUAUGCUUGCCGCCUCACUCAACAGCUACACACCACAACCUGUCAUAGACACCCUUGUGCCUUUCACCCCGAAAGUGGCCAUUUCUCUGGGGUUUGCUCUAACUACACACCACGCUCUAUUGUCACUGGCUGUCAUUGCUGAGCUGUUGGUGCUCGAGGAAAGACCUUGACACCUCUGACACACAAAGGGGCGAUUUUCCUGCCUGGCAAACUUUGCUUGGGUGUGCCGUCAGCCCCACACAACUGACUCUGUGUGAAUGGAAUGGGCAAAGUGCCGAGAACACAGAAUAUGCAUGAAUUCCCACACAGGAGCGCGCUUUCCAGGCUGCAACAGAGAACCUCAGGACAGGACAGACACCUCCAUCCCCGUAAGUGGCUGCUCUAGUUGGUCUAGUGUCCCGAGUGCCUCUGGUGUAGCCACAGGGUCUUGGAAAAGGAAAGCCCCAGUUCAUCUCGUGGACCAUGUCUUCCGUAUACAAGGAGGCGGGGCAAUAGCUUUCUGCAAACAACCUCGCCUCCUGCAAUUAUCUCCCUCCCAAGAAACCCGUGUGACCUCCAAACCUGGCUCCAAACGAGCCAGGCCAGCCUCUCUGUCACUUCUAAUGCUACCACAGACUGUUCAGACUUUCUUCACCAGGGCCUGCCCUUCCCCCUUCAUCUCCUCAGUCGCCCGUCGACCACCCUGCACUGCCACACUGACUUUCCUGGCUAACUGUGCCUUCCAGCUUCCAUGUCGUUCCUAAAGAUCUCUGAACUGCAGGCCCCUGGUUUCUCGCCUAAAAGAUCACCUCUUCGGAGAAGCCGUCUAGCCUUUUUCUUUCACCUCAUUCGGUCUUGCUUUUUUUUUAUCAGAGCACCUAUAAGUUCUCAGGACCUUCUUAUCUAGGAAGGAACAUUCCCUCCCCUGUGGGAAGACUCGGGCCACUGGCCUACCUCAUGCACUUACAAGACACCAAGCUCAGAUCCCUCUCCAGCGGCCCCCGUCUAGAAUUACAGCCAGGGCACCAGCCUGCUUCUGGAACAAGUGUCAGCCUUUUGUUCCCAGCAGCUCUAGUAAUUAGAUGCUAGGCCCAAACCCCGUGAUUCAGUCAGCAGUAUGAGAAGCCGGGGUCAGGAACAUAGGGCCCUUCUUUCUUCUGAGAGAUAGCAGCAUUCCAAAGACUGGGGCUACAAAAGAGGGUUGAUCUGCAGGCCUGAGAACUGACCUGCAUGCUGGAAGUCCACCCCCCUCAGCGCCAUGCCAACUGAGGCAUUUAACAAACCAGGCAAUCACCCAGCUUUGGAAAGGAGGUUCCAUCUCGCUCUGGGAUCGUCGUGUAGCUGGUGCUGGGAUGAAACUGGAUUUCCCUCUUCAGAACAAAGACCAGCACGCUCCUUUGGGAAGCCCAUCCUGGGAGAAGCUGCAUCUAUCAGAAGCCCCACUUCCGUGCCAAGCAUUCAAAGCCCGUGACCUGGCCUGCUCGCUUCAGCAGUUCCUGGCAGAGCACAGGGGCAUUCUCCAGCUUUGAAAUCUAAUUGCCUACCAUAGCCAUGAAGCCCAUUUUCGGCAGAAAAAGAAAAUUGAAAGGAGGGGAAAACCACACACACACACACACACACACACACACACACACAAACCACACAUGGACUGGGGGAGCAGUUCUCACGGAAGCUGCUAAGAUGAGCCAGCUGAGCGUUUGAUGGCCGGCCUUUGCGGGGAGGCCAGCUUUCUAAACCAGCUCCAGAAGCUGGCAUUCAGAAAAGGAAGAUCAACAAAGACAGCUCUGUCAGCAACAAGAAAAUGGAAGUCACGGGCAAACCCAGAAAAUGCUCUCCCCUGGAAUCAUCGUGAUUUACGGGAUAAUUGUGCCAAGCUCUCACGUCCAGAAGCAGACAUUGAUGGCCAUGCCAGGGUCAGGUGGACACUCACCCUUUUGUACUGUUCUCAUUUCUAAGCAAUGAGCUCGUCACAGUGCUGUUCUCCACCACCACCCGCCCGGGGAGGGGGGGAGAGAGGAGGGGGGACGCUUCCUCUCUGUCUCCCUCAGACAAAUGCAGCCUCUCCAAUGAGCCACCCUCAUUUUCAGACAGAGCUCUUACCCUAAAACAGUCCACACUGGGAAAAACUUGUGUUUCUCUUGCUUUAAGAGAUCAGUGUCUUAGAGAAAAGGGGAUGAGCAGGCGGAAGCAGCAAAGCUGCCCCCAGUUUUCCACAGUGGUCACUCAACCUCAUGGUAGACUUAUUCCAGAGAACAAGGAUCCCAGGUUUCACAGAGCAGGUGGGUCUUUGGGGGCCCUCAGAGGGACAGAUAAGUUGUCUUGUGUCUGUUUUAUUUGUAGGACCCACGAGGACUACUUAGUCCUCUGACAACCUGAGGAGUUCGCCAGGCAAAAGGUUCGACGGCGAUUAACAAGUUAUGGGACUCAGCCACUGCGGCAGAACAGAAAUCAGCAGGCUUCCUUUGGGGGCUUGAAAUGAAGAAAGAGAUCUUAGAAUCAUAUUAAAUAAAAAUGAGCCUGGGAUUUU